Electrophorus electricus (electric eel) is the source of this 1003-nucleotide non-coding RNA. NCBI's taxonomy places the organism in Eukaryota, Metazoa, Chordata, Actinopteri, Gymnotiformes, Gymnotidae. The record is from the annotation of a RefSeq genome assembly.
ACCACUUUCCAGGUGAACAACAUGCUCACUGCUCUGCUUGUUCUGGCAAUCUGUCUUUUUACAGGUCAAAGUUACGAAAAUGGUGUUUUCCAGGCACCAGAUACCAUCUUGGGUUCUUCGGGGAGCUUUGUAGAAAUGAACUGCAGUCACAACAAGGAUAUCAACCACCGUCAGAUGUACUGGUUCAAGCAGCUUCCAGGGGAAGGAAUGAUACCCAUUGUGUUUACAUUUGUUGGUGGAGAUCCUGACUAUGGGAGUUUUAGUAAAGACAAAUAUGAGACAGUAAAAACUGUGGUUGAGAUGGGCUCUUUAACUGUGAAGAACUUAGAUCCAGGGGACAGUGCUCUAUAUUUCUGUGCUGUUAGUAAGCACUGUGGUGAAACGUCACCAAAGCAUGUAACAAAAAUUACAAGAACUAAGUCUGACAAUGACAAUGUGACAGUGUGUGGUUCAUAAUCUGGUCUUCAGGUGGUGCUGUAGUUUCAAAAAUGUAUGCAAGUGGUUGGGGCAUAUGGGCUUUUAAUGUCUCUUGACUAUCAGGCAAUGAUAAUGAAGACAAACAAAUUAACAUACAUAAAUAAUAUAGCCCAUAAAUGUUUCUAUUUAAAAAAAUUGGAUUUGCUCCCAUACAUGCUAUCCUAUGUGUUCUCCCAUGUGUAAUGUAAAUGUAAAUGAAAAUGCCAUAAAUGGAAAUGGAAAUGUGUGAUAUGAGCUCAGACAUAGAAAUAUAGUUUUUCUUUUAACUUGAAUUGCAUAUAAUUGCUUUCUGACACUGCUUUUCUUGGUUUUAUUUAAUAUGUUUUUUUGUUUGUUUGUUUAUUUUUUUGGCCAUGUUUCCUUAAUUAAGGAAUCAAUGCAUUUUGAUAAUUGUUUUGCUAUUAUUUAUUCAGGUUCAGUGCAGUUUUCAGUUAUAUUUCCAUUAGUUACAUUGUUGUUAGUGCUCUUAACUAACUUCUAUCACUUUUGUAAAUGCUGUGAAAUGAGACACUGUCAAUAAAAGCAU